AGUUUCUAGCCAGUGAAUUAUGAGCAGUAUUAGCAUCCACGGCUGAGGUGCAACAGCUUUCUGGAUAUGGAUGAUAUGAGGAUAGAAGUGAAAUGAGGAUUGAGAGGGAUCGUCUCUCUCCAUCUCACUCAUCCGCCUACAACUGUUGUCGCAGUGUCGCUCUCUCCCACUGCAGAUGCCACGCUGGCUUGCUUCCCGCUGGCACGGAAGGGCCAGAUUGGUACCGGGAUCAGCUCCAAGAUGUCCAAGAUCCGCUUCAGAUUCAGGAAAGUCAAGCAGGACAGACAUGAGCAGUGACAGAAUUAUUGUGCAUAUUGCAGAACUAUAAUGCGCUUUGAGGGAAAAAUGAUUUUGUGGCAAGUCUUUGCGCAUAUGAUUUUGUGUGUGGGUGUGUAUGUGUGUAAGACUGCUCUGUUAGGCAAGGGUUUGCAGUGUGGGUUUAGGAUGUAUCUGUAUCUGUUUAGUACUCAAAAAUAUUCAUAUCUGUAUCUGUAUUCUGACUUGAACCCUUUAAACCAGAAGUGCUGUUUGUUUGUUUGUUUUAAUAUGAACCCUACCUCUAAAAUAUAAACAAUCUAGUAGCCUAGUUAAACCACUGCAACUCUGGCCAAGCAGCUACUAUGUGCAUCGUGCUGUUCCAUGUGUUUAUGUUAAUGAACAUGGUCUUUCUUUGUCCUAUGAUCUUCAAAUUUAACCACUCGCACCUGCAUGAAAGUAAAAACUUCACACCCACAUGGCUUUUUUAUUGUUUCCCAAUACACACCUCCAGUCUCAACCACAUGCCAGUGGAAAGCUUUCUAAAAAAAAAUUCCUACACACUUCUUUUUAAUCUGCUAAUGCAAGGUGGUCUGUCUGAUUUGGAUUGGGAGAUAUAUUUCUCCACUCUAGAGAAGCAACCAUCACUAGCAGGGAAUCUCAGGUGUGAGUUCCAUUACCCAGCACCGGUACCUCUGCUCUUCAACUUCAUCAAUCGUGAUUCCCUCAGUGCCUCCUAGCCCCCAUGCCAGAUAGACCUCAGGCCUUCAAACGGAGGUGGUGGGGGGAUUAUUCAAUUAUCUUCGGCCACACAAAAUGAAGUAUGACAGGCUCCCAGUGAGCAUAUCGUAGGCUACAUGUCAAUGUCAAUGAAAGGAUACCAGGCUAUUAAAAGCUUUGGUCCUCAGUUUAGUUUCCUUUUUCCUUGCAGUAAGUGGAACAUAGGGAAUUAAACUGUCCACUAUUAAUGGGAUGUGAUGGCAAGAAGACGGCAAGAAGAAAUGUUGUGGAACAGUAUUGGAACAACAUUUGAGCAAUUCUGGAGAUCUUGUAUGCCUCAGGAGAUGGGAGAACUUUUGUUGAUUCAAGCUCUCCAUUUAGUGCAUUAUAAUCUCUUGUUCACCCCUCUGUCAUCUAUUGAUGCUUGGUUGAUACCUUCACUCCAUAGGGAUGAAGGUUAUGUCGAGGACAGCAAGAUUGAUUAGAGCAGGCUGACAGCAGAAGCCUCUGAGACAGACAUAAUGCUUUCCUUUUCUUCAUAGUUGUUUUCCACAAAUAAAUCACUGCAAUUUAUAGAAUUUCUACCUCAAGAAGUCUGUUCUUUCAAACCACCAAGUCUUACUCAAAUAGUGGCCAAAGAUGUCUGUGUUUCUGUGUAGCCAAUCAUAAAAAAAAUUGAUUGACACAAAACACUGUUAUUUUGCACUGUGGAUAAAUAGUGAAUUAUGCUAUUAGGCCAAGAUGUUAGUCCAAGAAGUGAACUCAUUAGGGAAUUUUUGGGUACUUUCUCUUUGAUCACAGAGACACAGUAUCACUGUGUCAAAUACAAAUUAUGUAACAUUUAACAAUGUGCAUUUAGAUGUAUUUUUUGAGGCUUUGUAUUCUCAUCUCUUCACCUAUUUCUGGUCUGUUUCCAUGGUAGUAUAAAUGAGAAAGACAUAUGAGCAUAAUUUGGACCCGGACUGUGUGUUCACUAAUGGAGCGCUAUGAUGUAAAUGCCACCAGAAUUAAAGAUUCUAUUAGAUCUCA
This is a long non-coding RNA of Pangasianodon hypophthalmus (striped catfish), 2004 nucleotides long. RefSeq lists it as uncharacterized. The transcript is spliced from 2 exons. NCBI's taxonomy places the organism in Eukaryota, Metazoa, Chordata, Actinopteri, Siluriformes, Pangasiidae. The record is from RefSeq and is a predicted model, not a curated record.